This 1794-nucleotide ribosomal RNA is filed under the name Anaerostipes caccae L1-92. Its description in RNAcentral is "bacterial LSU rRNA". It matches the Rfam family "Bacterial large subunit ribosomal RNA", at positions 1113 to 2925 of the family's 2925-position model. The record is from RNAcentral. Lineage: Bacteria; Bacillati; Bacillota; Clostridia; Lachnospirales; Lachnospiraceae.
CAGUCAGUUGUAGCGGCCGCUUGACUUUAUAGCUCACUAGUCGAGAGAUCCUGCGCCGAAAAUGUCCGGGGCUAAAACACGACACCGAAGCUGUGGAAUGUAGGAAUACAUUGGUAGAGGAGCAUUGUAAGCGGGAUGAAGCCAUACCGUAAGGAGUGGUGGACUGCUUAGAAGAGAGAAUGCCGGAAUGAGUAGCGAGAGGAAGGUGAGAAUCCUUCCGGCCGAAUAUCUAAGGUUUCCAGAGUAAAGCUGAUCUGCUCUGGGUAAGUCGGGACCUAAGGCGAGGGCGAGAGCCGUAGUCGAUGGAUAACUGGUUGAAAUUCCAGUACCACAUAAAAACAGAACUGUGGGGACACAGAAGGGAAAUGGGAGCCAGGAAUGGAAACACUGGUGCAAGCGAAGUAGCCGUAUGGGAGGCAAAUCCCUCAUGCAAGGCAAAGGCGUUACGCGGACCGAACAAAAGUAGGGAAGCCCAGGCCCCCAGCUGUCAAGAAAAGCCGCUAUUGUUUUUUAUGUGCCCGUACCGUAAACCGACACAGGUGGAUGAGGAGAGAAUCCUAAGGCCGACGGGAGAAGUGUUGUUAAGGAACUCGGCAAAAUGACUCCGUAACUUCGGGAGAAGGAGUGCCAUAGUGAUAUGGCCGCAGAGAAUUGGCCCAAGCAACUGUUUAGCAAAAACACAGGUCUAUGCAAAACCGCAAGGUGAAGUAUAUGGGCUGACGCCUGCCCGGUGCUGGAAGGUUAAGGGGAGGGCUUAGCGCAUUAGCGCGAAGGUCUGAACUUAAGCCCCAGUAAACGGCGGCCGUAACUAUAACGGUCCUAAGGUAGCGAAAUUCCUUGUCGGGUAAGUUCCGACCCGCACGAAAGGCGUAAUGAUUUGGGCACUGUCUCAACAACACACCCGGUGAAAUUGAAAUACCAGUGAAGAUGCUGGUUACCUGCGCCAGGACGGAAAGACCCCAUGGAGCUUUACUCCAGCUUGAUACUGGGAUUCGGUACUGCAUGUACAGGAUAGGUGGGAGACUGAGAAUUAAGGACGCCAGUCCUUAAGGAGUCACUGUUGGGAUACCACCCUUGCAGUAUUGGAUUUCUAACCAACAGCCAUGAUCUGGUUGGGGGACAAUGUCAGGUGGGGAGUUUGACUGGGGCGGUCGCCUCCGAAAGGGUAUCGGAGGCGCUCAAAGGUCUUCUCAGAAUGGACGGAAACCAUUCGCAGAGUGCAAAGGCAGAAGAAGGCUUGACUGUGACACCGACGGGUGGAGCAGGUACGAAAGUAGGACUUAGUGAUCCGGUGGUAUAACGUGGGAUUGCCAUCGCUCAACGGAUAAAAGCUACCCUGGGGAUAACAGGCUUAUCACUCCCAAGAGUUCACAUCGACGGAGUGGUUUGGCACCUCGAUGUCGGCUCAUCGCAUCCUGGAGCUGUAGCAGGUUCCAAGGGUUGGGCUGUUCGCCCAUUAAAGCGGUACGCGAGCUGGGUUCAGAACGUCGUGAGACAGUUCGGUCCCUAUCCGGCGCAGGCGGAGGAAAUUUGAUAGGAGCUGUCCUUAGUACGAGAGGACCGGGAUGGACGGACCACUGGUGGAUCUGUUGUAUUACCAAAUGCAUAGCAGAGUAGCCAAGUCUGGAAGGGAUAAACGCUGAAGGCAUCUAAGCGUGAAGCCCCCCUAAAGAUAAGAUUUCCCAUAGAGUAAUCUAGUAAGACCCCUUGAAGACGACGAGGUAGAUAGGGCAGAGGUGGAAGUGCGGCAACGUAUGGAGCUGACUGUUACUAAUCGGUCGAGGCUUUAACCAA